AUACGGAGGGGGCUAGCGUUGUUCGGAAUUACUGGGCGUAAAGCGCGCGUAGGCGGAUUGAUCAGUCAGGGGCGAAAUCCCGGAGCUUAACUCCGGAACUGCCUUUGAUACUGUCAAUCUUGAGUUCGAGAGAGGUGAGUGGAAUUCCUAGUGUAGAGGUGAAAUUCGUAGAUAUUAGGAAGAACACCAGUGGCGAAGGCGGCUCACUGGCUCGAUACUGACGCUGAGGUGCGAAAGCGUGGGGAGCAAACAGGAUUAGAUACCCGAGUAGUCC
This 274-nucleotide ribosomal RNA is filed under the name uncultured bacterium. RNAcentral describes it as "partial 16S ribosomal RNA". It matches the Rfam family "Bacterial small subunit ribosomal RNA", at positions 523 to 796 of the family's 1533-position model. The record is from RNAcentral.